This 1006-nucleotide non-coding RNA is filed under the name Pan troglodytes (chimpanzee). Lineage: Eukaryota; Metazoa; Chordata; Mammalia; Primates; Hominidae. The record is from RNAcentral.
CCCACACCAUUGCCUGUAAUCCACCAACCUAGGAGUUACUCCAGUUACUGUCCUACUGAAGGACCCCCAUCCCAUCUGGGCUACUAUAACCACAUGGACCAUCCCUUGCUUCAAUCAUAGAAUUCUUUCUUCAGAUCAAAGUAUAUUCAGACACCCGAUACAGUAACAAAAGCAAGCUAUCCUGGAAACAAGAAGGAAUCAGGAGGCAGAGCACAUGGUUAAAGCAUGAGAUGUGAAACCAGGAAGAACCAGGUCUGAACCUUAGCUCCACCAGUGGUAGCCCCAAACCUUGGUCCUUUCUGAGCCUGCUUCUUCAACCCUAAGGUGUGACUACAUUGAGCAGUAACAGCAAAACCUGAAAGAGAAUGGAUACAGGUGUUCAUUUCAGAUGGUACAAGUUUAACAAAGUACAAGAGCAACUUAAGGGAACGCUACACUUCCUUAGAAAUUAAGAGUGUGUGCUACACUGCUUUACCAGAGCAAGACCAAAAGCAGCUUCAAUUAUGGUACAACUGUGUGAAGACACAAUGCGAAACCACUCAAGAAUGCUCACUCAAAUGGAUUUUUACCAUGGAACUCGGAAACGGGACCCAGAAAGUUGUUUUCUGCAAGUGGAUGGAACAACACAAGCAAUCAGUAUCCUGAAACAGGCCCUGUUCCAACAAACUGACCCAGAAAGCAAGUAUGAGGACUCCUGUUUCCCUACGUACUCACUACUACAGCAAAGAUAUCAAACAUUGAUACCCACCAAUCUCUGGAUGGAAAAACAAAUCUCAGGAAUCGCUUGCAGGAGGCUCUGCACGUUCCUCAGAUUCAGAGUCACUGUCCUUUUGCCUGUGAAGCUCCUCACUUUCAGAGUCACUAGCAUUAAGAUUUAAGGGCUCAUCAUUCUCAGAGUCUGUCACAUGAUGUCCUUUGGGGAGGCCAUCUUCUCGAUCACUAGUUUCAUUCUGAAAAAUAAAGUGAGAAAAAAUUAGGAAAGUGCAAAAAAAAAAAAAACAUUAAU